AUUGAACGCUGGCGGCAUGCCUUACACAUGCAAGUCGAACGGUAACAGGUCUUCGGAUGCUGACGAGUGGCGAACGGGUGAGUAAUACAUCGGAACGUGCCCGAUCGUGGGGGAUAACGCAGCGAAAGCUGUGCUAAUACCGCAUACGAUCUACGGAUGAAAGCGGGGGAUCGCAAGACCUCGCGCGGACGGAGCGGCCGAUGGCAGAUUAGGUAGUUGGUGGGAUAAAAGCUUACCAAGCCGACGAUCUGUAGCUGGUCUGAGAGGACGACCAGCCACACUGGGACUGAGACACGGCCCAGACUCCUACGGGAGGCAGCAGUGGGGAAUUUUGGACAAUGGGCGCAAGCCUGAUCCAGCCAUGCCGCGUGCAGGAUGAAGGCCUUCGGUUGUAAACUGCUUUGUACGGAACGAAAAGACUCUCUCUAAUACAGGGGUGGAAUGACGGUACCGUAAGAAUAAGCACCGGCUAACUACGUGCCAGC
RNAcentral lists this ribosomal RNA (485 nucleotides) under uncultured bacterium. RNAcentral's name for it is "bacterial SSU rRNA". It matches the Rfam family "Bacterial small subunit ribosomal RNA", at positions 30 to 512 of the family's 1533-position model. The record is from RNAcentral.